GUGGUGUGUAUUAAGAUGUGGUUCAGCAUCCAUCAUUUCAGUAAGUGACUUGCGUUUAAGUUCGUGAUAAACUGAAUGACAGUUGCUUCAAACGGAUGUUUUAUGGACAAUGUGCAGCCCAAAAAAUACUUAGCCAAACCGUGUGGCAAAUGCAUGGAAAGCUGUGAUAGGGAAUGAAUAAGGAGUAAGCACCCUUCAUUUGUAACGAAUGUUAUGCAACAGCAGAGUUCUCAGUACCCUUUUCGGUAUCUGGAGGAUGCAUGAGGUAUCUCGCGCUUACUUUAUUUCAUGCAGUAAACACAAUUUUAUGGACGGGAUUUUCUUCCAGUCUAGUCCAAGUCCUCUGAGAGAUCCUACAGAGCAAAAAUUUUGGAACCAUGCUGUUCUGUUUAUGUAUUACUUUAAGUUGCCAUUGCACAGAAAUAAAACUCCUGGUAGCUAUUUGGGGCAAUGACAUGCAGGUUCCUUUUUCUAUCUUGGCUGACACCAGGGAAGCAAUUUCUGGUUUUGAUUAGCUGCCUACUAUGACUUUCAGGCUGGUUGCUUUAGGAUGACCUCUACUUAAAUUGUGAGGAAAUGGAGUUGAUUUUCAGCUGCCUCCCUGUUGACUGGUGCUCUGGACUCUGCACUUCUCACGGAUGGCAGUGCAGCGCAUCCUGUGGUUAAGGUGCGGGACCUUGCCAUUGUUUGUGGUUCCGAAUUUGUUUUAAGUUAUCUUUCUAUUUUGGCUGGGUGAAUUUGGGCCUGACAUUUGUAGGUUUUUAGUGAGGUUAAUAGGAAGGGUGAAUUUGGUCAGUUGUGCCUCCAUAAGUCUGAGAGUAGUGUAACAUGGAGGUAGGAAUUUGAAAACAGGAAUAGUGAAAUCCAGUUGGGAACAGAUCUGUAGUUUCUGCUGAGAGAAGGGUCCUCUCAGUCAGCUGCUGUAUUCCCAAAGCAAAGUAGGCCUGGUACUGAGUCAGCAUUUGAACUCUUUAAAUAUUGUUGGAAGUAAGAAGAUUCAUUCGUUACCUUAUGCUUUGUUUUCUUUUGCCCUACAGGCAAUCCCGAAUGGUGAUCUUGCUUGCAUUCAGCUGGAGGGUGGGACUGACAAAGAAAUCUGUAUGAAUGGAGGUGACAAACGAAAUUUCAAUUAAUACCCCAUCCUGUUAAGUCUGUAGUAGAAGCCUUUAACAAAUCCACAGAAGUUUGGACAGGCAGAAAGGUCAGCAAUUGAAGUAAUCCAAUCAAGGUUGACACGUUCAUCUUGCUCAUAAUGUUGUCUUGGGAAUCUGCAGAAAAAUCAGCUGCGUUGUUAGCUGUAUAGUUCUAGUACCAACCAGUUCUUCCUUAGACUGGAAUUUUUAACUUCUGCUUGAGGAUACUUAAGGAUUUUUUUAGGGAUAUUAAACAACUGUUGGCAUAAUGUAUUACGCAAAAAUAUAAUGCAACAUACAACAUAAUUUCUUGAGGCACAC
RNAcentral lists this long non-coding RNA (1454 nucleotides) under Anser cygnoides (Swan goose). RNAcentral describes it as "lncRNA (ENSACDG00005011462.1)". Lineage: Eukaryota; Metazoa; Chordata; Aves; Anseriformes; Anatidae. The record is from RNAcentral.